Long non-coding RNA from Drosophila miranda, 597 nucleotides. RefSeq lists it as uncharacterized. The record is from RefSeq and is a predicted model, not a curated record. NCBI's taxonomy places the organism in Eukaryota, Metazoa, Arthropoda, Insecta, Diptera, Drosophilidae. The transcript has 3 exons.
GCGUCGUCGUUGGAAUGGCUGCUGUUUGUUCGGAGUGGCGUGACGUCACGGCCAUGGUCAGGCGGCAGCGUCAUCGAAAGAGGCCUCCUGUUCCUUCCCUUUGGCAGGAAAUUGUCAAUGUUGGUGGCGAGGCAGCCUCUUGAGGGGCAGCUCUGUCUGGUGAUUGGCAGUGGCUGGCCUCUGGAUCGACGAUUGGGCGCAUCAGUAGGCGCCGCCCGAUCGCAUGCUUUCGCGUGCGCUGGCAAUUUGGGCCCUUCAUAUUUCGCCCAGGCCAUCCAGCAUCUCAAAUGGAUCGUGAUCGGUCCAUUCGUCGUCGUCGCCAUCGUCUAAUUCAGUCGCGUCGCAGUCAAUGUCGGACUCUGAAUCCGAUAUGGCUGCUGCUGUAUUGGCGGCGACUGAUGGUAUUGCCAGAGGGACAGGAACUGCUGCUGCUGUUGGUUGGAGUGGGGGCAUGGCUGUUGUGCCCUUGCCAUUUGCUGCAGCCAAUUUGAUUUUGAGCGCAGCUGCCAUCACACUGGACGUCUGGCCGCUGCUGCUGCUGGUGUUGGCGUGGCGUCGGGGCAUCAUUCGCGAUCGGUUGCAUCGGCUGGACCCUCU